This 253-nucleotide ribosomal RNA is filed under the name uncultured bacterium. RNAcentral's name for it is "partial 16S ribosomal RNA". It matches the Rfam family "Bacterial small subunit ribosomal RNA", at positions 524 to 776 of the family's 1533-position model. The record is from RNAcentral.
UACGUAGGGUGCGAGCGUUGUCCGGAAUUAUUGGGCGUAAAGGGCUCGUAGGCGGUUUGUCGCGUCGGGAGUGAAAACCUCGGGCUUAACUCGGGGCUUGCUUUCGAUACGGGCAGACUAGAGGUAUGCAGGGGAGAACGGAAUUCCUGGUGUAGCGGUGAAAUGCGCAGAUAUCAGGAGGAAGACCGGUGGCGAAGGCGGCCUGCUGGGCAGUUACUGACACUGAGGCGCGACAGCGUGGGGAGCAAACAGG